AUUGAACGCUGGCGGCAUGCCUUACACAUGCAAGUCGAACGGCAGCAUGAUCUAGCUUGCUAGAUUGAUGGCGAGUGGCGAACGGGUGAGUAAUACAUCGGAACGUGCCCUGUAGUGGGGGAUAACUAGUCGAAAGAUUAGCUAAUACCGCAUACGACCUGAGGGUGAAAGUGGGGGACCGCAAGGCCUCAUGCUAUAGGAGCGGCCGAUGUCUGAUUAGCUAGUUGGUGAGGUAAAGGCUCACCAAGGCGACGAUCAGUAGCUGGUCUGAGAGGACGGUCAGCCACACUGGGACUGAGACACGGCCCAGACUCCUACGGGAGGCAGCAGUGGGGAAUUUUGGACAAUGGGCGAAAGCCUGAUCCAGCAAUGCCGCGUGUGUGAAGAAGGCCUUCGGGUUGUAAAGCACUUUUGUCCGGAAAGAAAUGGCUCUGGUUAAUACCUGGGGUCGAUGACGGUACCGGAAGAAUAAGGACCGGCUAACUACGUG
Molecule: ribosomal RNA, 490 nt
Filed under: uncultured bacterium
Lineage: Bacteria
Description: partial 16S ribosomal RNA
Rfam family: Bacterial small subunit ribosomal RNA
Source: RNAcentral